This 1536-nucleotide ribosomal RNA is filed under the name Staphylococcus pseudintermedius. RNAcentral describes it as "bacterial SSU rRNA". It matches the Rfam family "Bacterial small subunit ribosomal RNA". The record is from RNAcentral. Lineage: Bacteria; Bacillati; Bacillota; Bacilli; Caryophanales; Staphylococcaceae.
UUUAUGGAGAGUUUGAUCCUGGCUCAGGAUGAACGCUGGCGGCCUAAUACAUGCAAGUCGAGCGAACAGAUAAGGAGCUUGCUCCUUUGGCGGCGGCGGACGGGUGAGUAACACGUGGGUAACCUACCUAUAAGACUGGAAUAACUCCGGGAAACCGGGGCUAAUGCCGGAUAACAUGUUGAACCGCAUGGUUCUACAGUGAAAGACGGUCUUGCUGUCACUUAUAGAUGGACCCGCGCCGUAUUAGCUAGUUGGUGGGGUAACGGCCUACCAAGGCGACGAUACGUAGCCGACCUGAGAGGGUGAUCGGCCACACUGGAACUGAGACACGGUCCAGACUCCUACGGGAGGCAGUAGGGAAUCUUCCGCAAUGGGCGAAAGCCUGACGGAGCAACGCCGCGUGAGUGAUGAAGGUCUUCGGAUCGUAAAGCUCUGUUGUUAGGGAAGAACAAAUGUGUAAGUAACUGUGCACAUCUUGACGGUACCUAACCAGAAAGCCACGGCUAACUACGUGCCAGCAGCCGCGGUAAUACGUAGGUGGCAAGCGUUAUCCGGAAUUAUUGGGCGUAAAGCGCGCGUAGGCGGUUUUUUAAGUCUGAUGUGAAAGCCCACGGCUCAACCGUGGAGGGUCAUUGGAAACUGGAAAACUUGAGUGCAGAAGAGGAAAGUGGAAUUCCAUGUAGCGGUGAAAUGCGCAGAGAUAUGGAGGAACACCAGUGGCGAAGGCGGCUUUCUGGUCUGCAACUGACGCUGAUGUGCGAAAGCGUGGGGAUCAAACAGGAUUAGAUACCCUGGUAGUCCACGCCGUAAACGAUGAGUGCUAAGUGUUAGGGUCGUGUAGGGAAGUAGUGUCUUCACACGUGUGCUCUUCCGAUGGGAGUACGGUCGCAAGACUGAAACUCAAAGGAAUUGACGGGGACCCGCACAAGCGGUGGAGCAUGUGGUUUAAUUCGAAGCAACGCGAAGAACCUUACCAAAUCUUGACAUCCUUUGACCGCUCUAGAGAUAGAGUUUUCCUCUUCGGAGGACAAAGUGACAGGUGGUGCAUGGUUGUCGUCAGCUCGUGUCGUGAGAUGUUGGGUUAAGUCCCGCAACGAGCGCAACCCUUGAACUUAGUUGCCAUCAUUCAGUUGGGCACUCUAAGUUGACUGCCGGUGACAAACCGGAGGAAGGUGGGGAUGACGUCAAAUCAUCAUGCCCCUUAUGAUUUGGGCUACACACGUGCUACAAUGGACAAUACAAAGGGCAGCGAAACCGCGAGGUCAAGCAAAUCCCAUAAAGUUGUUCUCAGUUCGGAUUGUAGUCUGCAACUCGACUACAUGAAGCUGGAAUCGCUAGUAAUCGUAGAUCAGCAUGCUACGGUGAAUACGUUCCCGGUCUUGUACACACCGCCCGUCACGCUCUUCCGAUCUUGUAACACCCGAAGCCGGUGGAGUAACCAUUUUGGAGCUAGCCGUCGAAGGUGGGACAAAUGAUUGGGGUGAAGUCGUAACAAGGUAGCCGUAUCGGAAGGUGCGGCUGGAUCACCUCCUUUCU